This 492-nucleotide ribosomal RNA is filed under the name uncultured bacterium. RNAcentral describes it as "partial 16S ribosomal RNA". It matches the Rfam family "Bacterial small subunit ribosomal RNA", at positions 29 to 507 of the family's 1533-position model. The record is from RNAcentral.
AGUGAACGCUGGCGGUAGGCCUAACACAUGCAAGUCGAACGGCAGCACAGUAAUAGCUUGCUCUUACGGGUGGCGAGUGGCGGACGGGUGAGGAAUACAUCGGAAUCUACUUUUUCGUGGGGGAUAACGUAGGGAAACUUACGCUAAUACCGCAUACGACCUACGGGUGAAAGCAGGGGAUCUUCGGCCCUUGCGCGAUUGAAUGAGCCGAUGUCGGAUUAGCUAGUUGGCGGGGUAAAGGCCCACCAAGGCGACAAUCCGUAGCUGGUCUGAGAGGAUGAUCAGCAACACUGGAACUGAGACACGGUCCAGACUCCUACGGGAGGCAGCAGUGGGGAAUAUUGGACAAUGGGCGCAAGCCUGAUCCAGCCAUACCGCGUGGGUGAAGAAGGCCUUCGGGUUGUAAAGCCCUUUUGUUGGGAAAGAAAAGCAGCAGGUUAAUACCCCGCUGUUCUGACGGUACCCAAAGAAUAAGCACCGGCUAACUUCGUG